GAUGAAGAACGUAGCGAAAUGCGAUAAGUAGUGUGAAUUGCAGAAUUCAGUGAAUCAUCGAAUCUUUGAACGCACAUUGCGCCCUUUGGUAUUCCAAAGGGCAUGCCUGUUCGAGCGUCAUUUGUACCCUCAAGCUUUGCUUGGUGUUGGGCGUCUUGUCUCUAGCUUUGCUGGAGACUCGCCUUAAAGUAAUUGGCAGCCGGCCUACUGGUUUCGGAGCGCAGCACAAGUCGCACUCUCUAUCAGCAAAGGUCUAGCAUCCAUUAAGCCUUUUUUUCAACUUUUGACCUCAAAUCAGGUAGGACUACCCGCUGAACUUAAGCAUAUCAAUAAGCGGAGGA
RNAcentral lists this unclassified non-coding RNA (341 nucleotides) under soil metagenome. RNAcentral describes it as "partial contains 5.8S ribosomal RNA, internal transcribed spacer 2, and large subunit ribosomal RNA". The stretch from base 1 to 120 matches the Rfam family "5.8S ribosomal RNA", at positions 35 to 154 of the family's 154-position model. The record is from RNAcentral.